UUGAACGCUGGCGGCAUGCUUUACACAUGCAAGUCGAACGGCAGCGCGGGCUUCGGCCUGGCGGCGAGUGGCGAACGGGUGAGUAAUACAUCGGAACGUGCCCAGUAGUGGGGGAUAGCUCGGCGAAAGCCGGAUUAAUACCGCAUACGACCUGAGGGUGAAAGCGGGGGAUCUUCGGACCUCGCGCUAUUGGAGCGGCCGAUGGCAGAUUAGCUAGUUGGUGGGGUAAAGGCCUACCAAGGCGACGAUCCGUAGCUGGUCUGAGAGGACGACCAGCCACACUGGGACUGAGACACGGCCCAGACUCCUACGGGAGGCAGCAGUGGGGAAUUUUGGACAAUGGGCGAAAGCCUGAUCCAGCAAUGCCGCGUGUGUGAUGAAGGCCUUCGGGUUGUAAAGCACUUUUGGCGGGAACGAAAAGGACUGUGCCAAUACCACGGUUCGAUGACGGUACCCGCAGAAUAAGCACCGGCUAACUACGUG
This 483-nucleotide ribosomal RNA is filed under the name uncultured bacterium. RNAcentral's name for it is "partial 16S ribosomal RNA". It matches the Rfam family "Bacterial small subunit ribosomal RNA", at positions 29 to 507 of the family's 1533-position model. The record is from RNAcentral.